This 463-nucleotide ribosomal RNA is filed under the name uncultured bacterium. RNAcentral describes it as "partial 16S ribosomal RNA". It matches the Rfam family "Bacterial small subunit ribosomal RNA", at positions 29 to 506 of the family's 1533-position model. The record is from RNAcentral.
ACGAACGCUGGCGGCGUGCUUAACCCAUGCAAGUCGAACGGAAAGGCCCCUUUGGGGGUACUCGAGUGGCGAACUGGUGAGUAACACGUGAGUAACCUGCCCUUGACUUCGGGAUAACUUCAGGAAACUGGGGCUAAUACCGGAUAGGAAUCCUUGCUGCAUGGUGGGGGUUGGAAAGCUUCGGCGGUUUUGGAUGGACUCGCGGCUUAUCAGCUUGUUGGUGGGGUAGUGGCUUACCAAGGCUUUGACGGGUAGCCGGCCUGAGAGGGCGACCGGCCACAUUGGGACUGAGAUACGGCCCAGACUCCUACGGGAGGCAGCAGUGGGGAAUAUUGCACAAUGGGCGGAAGCCUGAUGCAGCAACGCCGCGUGCGGGAUGACGGCCUUCGGGUUGUAAACCGCUUUCAGCAGGGGCGAAGCUUGUGGUGACGGUACCUGCAGAAGAAGCACCGGCUAACUACGU